AUUGAACGCUGGCGGCAGGCCUAACACAUGCAAGUCGAGCGGCGCGGCGGACGGGUGAGUACUGCCUAGGAAUCUGCCUGUUAGUGGGGGAUAACGUCCGGAAACGGGCGCUAAUGCCGCAUGCUAUCAGCUGCGCCUCGGUCGGAUUAGCUAGUUGGUGGGGUAAAGGCCUACCAAGGCGACGAUCCGUAACUGGUCUGAGAGGAUGAUCAGCCACACUGGAACUGAGACACGGCCCAGACUCCUACGGGAGGCAGCAGUGGGGAAUAUUGGACAAUGGGCGAAAGCCUGAUCCAGCCAUGCCGCGUGUGUGAAGAAGGUCUUCGGAUUGUAAAGCACUUUAAGUUGGGAGGCGUUACCAACAGAAUAAGCACCGGCUAACUUCGUGCCAGCAGCCGCGGUAAUAC
This 407-nucleotide ribosomal RNA is filed under the name uncultured bacterium. RNAcentral describes it as "partial 16S ribosomal RNA". It matches the Rfam family "Bacterial small subunit ribosomal RNA", at positions 30 to 526 of the family's 1533-position model. The record is from RNAcentral.